AACCUUUACACUGCACGACAGUGCGAUAGGGGGACUCCGAGUGCGAGGGCAUAUAGCCCUCGCUUUUCUGUACCGUAAGGUGGUUCAGGAACAAGGACUGGGCAAGACCGGUGCCAGCCGCCGCGGUAAUACCGGCAGUCCGAGUGAUGGCCGAUAUUAUUGGGCCUAAAGCGUCCGUAGCUGGCCGCACAAGUCCAUCGGAAAAUCCACCCGCUCAACGGGUGGGCGUCCGGUGGAAACUGUGUGGCUUGGGACCGGAAGGCGCGACGGGUACGUCCGGGGUAGGAGUGAAAUCCCGUAAUCCUGGACGGACCGCCGAUGGCGAAAGCACGUCGCGAGACCGGACCCGACAGUGAGGGACGAAAGCCAGGGUCUCGAACCGGAUUAGAUACCCGGGUAGUCCUGGCUGUAAACAAUGCUCGCUAGGUAUGUCACGCGCCAUGAGCACGUGAUGUGCCGUAGUGAAGACGAUAAGCGAGCCGCCUGGGAAGUACGUCCGCAAGGAUGAAACUUAA
This 515-nucleotide ribosomal RNA is filed under the name uncultured archaeon. RNAcentral's name for it is "bacterial SSU rRNA". It matches the Rfam family "Archaeal small subunit ribosomal RNA", at positions 345 to 859 of the family's 1478-position model. The record is from RNAcentral.